GUACCGGGUGGUAACAUUCGGUACCGCAUAGUAUGACUCAAACCAUCCUAAAACAAAUUGAUUCUCCCGAAACAAAUUGGUUCUUGAAUUUUGACAGUUGCCUUUUUAAUCUCUCUUCCAAUCCCGAUUCGUCUUGCGUUGCUCGCUGCUCAUCGUCGCCACCAGUAGUUUCUUACCCUCAUAGCUAAAUGUUUACUGAAGCUGAUUUAGAUUUCUAAAAGCAAUUCCCGUUGAGAUGGAAGGCACCUCUUCUAUGCCCCAACAACUUCUGCUUCACCUUCCAUCUGGAUAUCUUCUUGAUGCCGACAUCCUCCUUCUAGUCAUCACGGACCUGAAAUUGCCAACAGCAUCAAAAACCACAGCCAAAUUGAUCUUAGCACUUCAAUACAAAAUGAGAUCCA
Molecule: long non-coding RNA, 401 nt
Filed under: Musa acuminata (dwarf banana)
Lineage: Eukaryota; Viridiplantae; Streptophyta; Magnoliopsida; Zingiberales; Musaceae
Description: long non-coding RNA (MACU_LNC004880)
Source: RNAcentral